AAAUGAAUUGACGGGGACCCGCACAAGCAGAGGAGCGCGUGGUUUAAUUCGGCGGCAAUCGAAGAACCUUACCAGGGUUUGAAAUGUAUCUGCAUGCCCUAUGAAAAUAGGGAGGCCUUCGAGGGUGAUACACAGGUGCUGCAUGGCCGCCGUCAGCUCGUGUCGUGAGAUGUAGGGUUAAGUCCCGAAACGAGCGCAACCCCUAUUCUAUGUUACAAGUGUCUUAGAAAACCGCCUCGGUAAAACGAGGAGGAAGGUGGGAUGACGUCUGGUCCGCAUAGCCCUUAUGUCCUGGGCUACACACGCGCUACAAUGGCCGAUACAGUAGGAAGCCAAAUCGUAAGAUGGAGCUAAUCCUUAAAGUCGGUCUCAGUUCGGAUUGAGGUCUGAAAUUCGACCUCAUGAAGUUGGAUUUGCUAGCAAUCGUAGAUCAGCAAUGCUACGGUGAAUACGUUCUCGGGUCUU
Molecule: ribosomal RNA, 465 nt
Filed under: uncultured Thermovirga sp.
Lineage: Bacteria; Thermotogati; Synergistota; Synergistia; Synergistales; Thermovirgaceae
Description: bacterial SSU rRNA
Rfam family: Bacterial small subunit ribosomal RNA
Source: RNAcentral